UGGCUCAGAGGUUAAAGUAUCUGCCUGGAAUGCAGGAGACCCGGGUUCGAUCCCUGG
RNAcentral lists this transfer RNA (57 nucleotides) under Ovis aries (sheep). It matches the Rfam family "tRNA", at positions 8 to 63 of the family's 71-position model. From Rfam's summary of the family: Transfer RNA (tRNA) molecules are approximately 80 nucleotides in length. The record is from Rfam by way of RNAcentral. Lineage: Eukaryota; Metazoa; Chordata; Mammalia; Artiodactyla; Bovidae.